GGUGGCUCAGUGGUAGAGUGCUUGUCUUGCAUGCAUUAGGCCCUGGGUUCAAUUCCUCAGCACCA
RNAcentral lists this transfer RNA (65 nucleotides) under Dipodomys ordii (Ord's kangaroo rat). It matches the Rfam family "tRNA". Rfam says of the family: Transfer RNA (tRNA) molecules are approximately 80 nucleotides in length. Their secondary structure includes four short double-helical elements and three loops (D, anti-codon, and T loops). Lineage: Eukaryota; Metazoa; Chordata; Mammalia; Rodentia; Heteromyidae. The record is from Rfam by way of RNAcentral.